GCUUAACACAUGCAAGUCGAGGGGCAGCAUGGUCUUAGCUUGCUAAGACUGAUGGCGACCGGCGCACGGGUGAGUAACACGUAUCCAACCUGCCGUCUACUCUUGGACAGCCUUCUGAAAGGAAGAUUAAUACAAGAUGGCAUCAUGAGUCCGCAUGUUCACAUGAUUAAAGGUAUUCCGGUAGACGAUGGGGAUGCGUUCCAUUAGAUAGUAGGCGGGGUAACGGCCCACCUAGUCUUCGAUGGAUAGGGGUUCUGAGAGGAAGGUCCCCCACAUUGGAACUGAGACACGGUCCAAACUCCUACGGGAGGCAGCAGUGAGGAAUAUUGGUCAAUGGGCGAGAGCCUGAACCAGCCAAGUAGCGUGAAGGAUGACUGCCCUAUGGGUUGUAAACUUCUUUUAUAAAGGAAUAAAGUCGGGUAUGCAUACCCGUUUGCAUGUACUUUAUGAAUAAGGAUCGGCUAACUCCGUGCCAGCAGCCGCGGUAAUACGGAGGAUCCGAGCGUUAUCCGGAUUUAUUGGGUUUAAAGGGAGCGUAGAUGGAUGUUUAAGUCAGUUGUGAAAGUUUGCGGCUCAACCGUAAAAUUGCAGUUGAUACUGGAUAUCUUGAGUGCAGUUGAGGCAGGCGGAAUUCGUGGUGUAGCGGUGAAAUGCUUAGAUAUCACGAAGAACUCCGAUUGCGAAGGCAGCCUGCUAAGCUGCAACUGACAUUGAGGCUCGAAAGUGUGGGUAUCAAACAGGAUUAGAUACCCUGGUAGUCCACACGGUAAACGAUGAAUACUCGCUGUUUGCGAUAUACUGCAAGCGGCCAAGCGAAAGCGUUAAGUAUUCCACCUGGGGAGUACGCCGGCAACGGUGAAACUCAAAGGAAUUGACGGGGGCCCGCACAAGCGGAGGAACAUGUGGUUUAAUUCGAUGAUACGCGAGGAACCUUACCCGGGCUUAAAUUGCAGAUGAAUUACGGUGAAAGCCGUAAGCCGCAAGGCAUCUGUGAAGGUGCUGCAUGGUUGUCGUCAGCUCGUGCCGUGAGGUGUCGGCUUAAGUGCCAUAACGAGCGCAACCCUUGUUGUCAGUUACUAACAGGUUCCGCUGAGGACUCUGACAAGACUGCCAUCGUAAGAUGUGAGGAAGGUGGGGAUGACGUCAAAUCAGCACGGCCCUUACGUCCGGGGCUACACACGUGUUACAAUGGGGGGUACAGAGGGCCGCUACCACGCGAGUGGAUGCCAAUCCCCAAAACCUCUCUCAGUUCGGACUGGAGUCUGCAACCCGACUCCACGAAGCUGGAUUCGCUAGUAAUCGCGCAUCAGCCACGGCGCGGUGAAUACGUUCCCGGGCCUUGUACACACCGCCCGUCAAGCCAUGGGAGCCGGGGGUACCUGAAGUGCGUAACCGAGAGGAGCGCCCUAGGGUAAAACUGGUGACUGGGGCUAAGU
Molecule: ribosomal RNA, 1436 nt
Filed under: uncultured organism
Description: 16S ribosomal RNA
Rfam family: Bacterial small subunit ribosomal RNA
Source: RNAcentral